RNAcentral lists this long non-coding RNA (243 nucleotides) under Homo sapiens (human). RNAcentral's name for it is "non-protein coding lnc-SPRY1-6:1". The record is from RNAcentral. Lineage: Eukaryota; Metazoa; Chordata; Mammalia; Primates; Hominidae.
AGGUCCUAAUGGAAAGAAUAGGCAACAUACAAAAACAGAUGGGUAAUGUAAUCUGAGAGAUAAAAACAACAAAAAUAAAAAAUGAAAAAAAAAUAAAAGAAAAAGAAAGAAAGAAAGGAGGGAGGGAGGAAGGAGGAGAAAAAAUCAGAAUACCCAAGGACUGUGGGGCAACUGUAAUAAGUAUAAAUUAUGCAUAAUUGGAAUACCAGAAGGAGAAAAGGGAACACAGCAAAAUAAAUAUUU